CCUACGGGUGGCAGCAGUGAGGAAUAUUGGUCAAUGGACGAGAGUCUGAACCAGCCAAGUAGCGUGAAGGAUGACUGCCCUAUGGGUUGUAAACUUCUUUUAUAUGGGAAUAAAAUGUUCCACGUGUGGGAUUUUGUAUGUACCAUAUGAAUAAGGAUCGGCUAACUCCGUGCCAGCAGCCGCGGUAAUACGGAGGAUCCGAGCGUUAUCCGGAUUUAUUGGGUUUAAAGGGAGCGUAGGUGGAUUGUUAAGUCAGUUGUGAAAGUUUGCCGCUCAACCGUAAAAUUGCAGUUGAAACUGGCAGUCUUGAGUACAGUAGAGGUGGGCGGAAUUCGUGGUGUAGUGGUGAAAUGCUUAGAUAUCACGAAGAACUCCGAUUGCGAAGGCAGUUCACUGGACUGCAACUGACACUGAGGCUCGAAAGUGUGGGUAUCAAACAGGAUUAGAUACCCUAGUAGUC
This 460-nucleotide ribosomal RNA is filed under the name uncultured bacterium. Its description in RNAcentral is "partial 16S ribosomal RNA". It matches the Rfam family "Bacterial small subunit ribosomal RNA", at positions 338 to 795 of the family's 1533-position model. The record is from RNAcentral.